UCCCACAUAGCUCAGUUGGUAGAGCGCGUCACUAGUAUUGAUAGGGCAUUCGAACCGUCAAACCGAAUGACGAGGUCAGUCGUUCAAAUCGGCUUGUGGGAA
Non-coding RNA from Rhodofomes roseus, 102 nucleotides. Lineage: Eukaryota; Fungi; Basidiomycota; Agaricomycetes; Polyporales; Fomitopsidaceae. The record is from the annotation of a RefSeq genome assembly.